This 468-nucleotide ribosomal RNA is filed under the name uncultured bacterium. RNAcentral describes it as "partial 16S ribosomal RNA". It matches the Rfam family "Bacterial small subunit ribosomal RNA", at positions 28 to 507 of the family's 1533-position model. The record is from RNAcentral.
GACGAACGCUGGCGGCGUGCUUAACACAUGCAAGUCGAACGGAAAGGCGCUGCUUUUGUGGGGUGCUCGAGUGGCGAAGGGGUGAGUAACACGUGAGUAACAUGCCCUUGACUUUGGGAUAACUUCAGGAAACUGGGGCUAAUACCGGAUAGGAGCUCUUGCUGCAUGGUGGGGGUUGGAAAGAUUCGGCGGUUGGGGAUGGUUUCGCGGCUUAUCAGCUUGUUGGUGGGGUAGUGGCGGACCAAGGGUUGGAAGGGUAGCCGGCCUGAGAGGGUGACCGGCCACAUUGGGACUGCGAUACGGACCAGAAUCCUACGUUAGGCAGCAGUGGGAAGUAUUGCGCAAUGGGCGGAAGCCUGAUGCAGCAACGCCGCGUGCGGGAUGACGGCUUUCUGGGUAUAAACCGCUUUCGCCUGUGACGAAGCGGUAGUGACGGUAAUGGGUAAAAAAGCACCGGCUAACUACGUG